GCACCCAUGGCGGAAUUGGUAGACGCAAGAGACUUAAAAUCUCUCGACCCUUGGUCGUGCCGGUUCGAUUCCGGCUGGGUGCACCA
This 86-nucleotide transfer RNA is filed under the name Parapusillimonas sp. SGNA-6. Its description in RNAcentral is "tRNA-Leu". It matches the Rfam family "tRNA". Rfam says of the family: Transfer RNA (tRNA) molecules are approximately 80 nucleotides in length. Their secondary structure includes four short double-helical elements and three loops (D, anti-codon, and T loops). Lineage: Bacteria; Pseudomonadati; Pseudomonadota; Betaproteobacteria; Burkholderiales; Alcaligenaceae. The record is from RNAcentral.